RNAcentral lists this ribosomal RNA (440 nucleotides) under uncultured bacterium. RNAcentral's name for it is "partial 16S ribosomal RNA". It matches the Rfam family "Bacterial small subunit ribosomal RNA", at positions 338 to 795 of the family's 1533-position model. The record is from RNAcentral.
CCUACGGGUGGCAGCAGUGGGGAAUAUUGCACAAUGGGGGAAACCCUGAUGCAGCGACGCCGCGUGAGCGAUGAAGUAUUACGGUAUGUAAAGCUCUAUCAGUAGGGAAGAAAAUGACGGUACCUGACUAAGAAGCCCCGGCUAACUACGGGCCAGCAGCAGUGGGAAUACGUAGGGGGCAAGCGUUAUACGGAUUUACUGGGGGUAAAGGGAGCGUAGGCGGCAGAGCAAGUCUGAAGUGAAACGCCGCGGCCCAACUGCGGGACUGCUUUGGAAACUGCCGGGCUAGAGUGCUGGAGAGGUAAGCGGAAUUCGUAGUGUAGCGGUGAAAUGCUUAGAUAUUAGGAGGAACACCGGUGGCGAAGGCAGCUUACUGGACAGUAACUGACGUUGAGGCUCGAAAGCGUGGGGAGCAAACAGGAUUAGAUACCCGGGUAGUC